UUGUAGGUGGUUUUUUAAGUCGAAAGAAACAAAUUAAAGCUCAACUUUAUAUAUUUUUUCAAAACUGAUAAACUGGAGUAUAAAUAGAGGAUAAUGGAAUUUCUAUUGGAGUGAUAAAAUACGUUGAUAAUAGAAGGAAGAUCUAUGGCGAAGGCAAUUAUCUGGGUAUAUACUGACACUGAGAAACGAAAGCUUGGGUAGCGAACGGGAUUAGAUACCCCGGUAGUCCAUGCUGUAAACGAUGAGUGCUAAUAUUUAGAAUUUUUAGAUAUAACAGCUAACGCGUUAAGCACUCCGCCUGAAAAGUAUAAUCGCAAGAUUGAAAUUCAAAGGAAUUGACGGGAGUCUACACAAGCGGUGGAGCAUGUGGUUUAAUUCGAUAAUACGCGCAGAACCUUACCAACUCUUGCUAAUUUUUAUAUAAAAUAUUAUAUAAAAAACAGGCGUUGCAUGGCUGUCGUCAGCUCGUGUUGUGAAAUGUUUGGUUAAAUCCUUUAACGAGCGCAACCCUUAUUGUUAGUUGCUAAUUUACUAAAAAAAAUAAAAGUACUCUAACAAAAAAAUUAAUGAUAGGUUAAUGGAAGGUGGGGAUGACGUCAAGUCUUCAUGGCCCUUAUGAGUUGGGCUACACACGUGCUACAAUGAUAAUCACAAUGAGAGGCAAUAAUGAUAAAAGUUGGAGCAAAUCUUUAAAAAUUAUCUUAGUUCGGAUUAAGGGCUGAAACUCGCCCUUAUGAAGUUGGAAUCGCUAGUAAUCGCAGAACAGCAUGCUGCGGUGAAUAUGUUACUGGACUUUGUACACACCGCCCGUCACAUCAGGGAAGUUGAUUAUUUUUAAAAUAAUUCUUAAUUAUUUAAUAUAAUUAUCUAAUUAUUUAAUUAUAUUAAUUUAUAAUUUAUAUUAAAUAACUUAAAAUUCCUAAAAAGUGAUUAGUAACUUUGAUGAAGUCGUAACAAGGUAGUCGUAGGGGAACCUGUGUCUG
Molecule: ribosomal RNA, 983 nt
Filed under: Phytophthora cactorum
Lineage: Eukaryota; Oomycota; Peronosporomycetes; Peronosporales; Peronosporaceae
Description: bacterial SSU rRNA
Rfam family: Bacterial small subunit ribosomal RNA
Source: RNAcentral